Molecule: ribosomal RNA, 402 nt
Filed under: uncultured prokaryote
Description: bacterial SSU rRNA
Rfam family: Bacterial small subunit ribosomal RNA
Source: RNAcentral
UGGGGAAUAUUGCACAAUGGGGGAAACCCUGAUGCAGCGACGCCGCGUGAGCGAAGAAGUAUUUCGGUAUGUAAAGCUCUAUCAGCAGGGAAGAAAAUGACGGUACCUGACUAAGAAGCACCGGCUAAAUACGUGCCAGCAGCCGCGGUAAUACGUAUGGUGCAAGCGUUAUCCGGAUUUACUGGGUGUAAAGGGAGCGUAGACGGAUGGGCAAGUCUGAUGUGAAAACCCGGGGCUCAACCCCGGGACUGCAUUGGAAACUGUUCAUCUAGAGUGCUGGAGAGGUAAGUGGAAUUCCUAGUGUAGCGGUGAAAUGCGUAGAUAUUAGGAGGAACACCAGUGGCGAAGGCGGCUUACUGGACAGUAACUGACGUUGAGGCUCGAAAGCGUGGGGAGCAAACA